UGCCAGCCGCCGCGGUAAGACGGAGGGGGUUAGCGUUGUUCGGAAUUACUGGGCGUAAAGAGCGCGUAGGUUGUUUAGUAAGUUGAAAGUGAAAUCCCUGAGCUUAACUCAGGAACUGCUUUCAAAACUGCUAAGCUAGAGUGUAGUAGGGGAUGAUGGAAUUCCUAGUGUAGAGGUGAAAUUCUUAGAUAUUAGGAGGAACAUCGGUGGCGAAGGCGGUCAUCUGGACUAUUACUGACACUGAGGCGCGAAAGCGUGGGUAGCAAACAGGAUUAGAUA
Molecule: ribosomal RNA, 279 nt
Filed under: uncultured bacterium
Lineage: Bacteria
Description: partial 16S ribosomal RNA
Rfam family: Bacterial small subunit ribosomal RNA
Source: RNAcentral